RNAcentral lists this transfer RNA (69 nucleotides) under Marmota monax (woodchuck). Its description in RNAcentral is "tRNA.Val". The record is from RNAcentral. Lineage: Eukaryota; Metazoa; Chordata; Mammalia; Rodentia; Sciuridae.
GGGGUUGUGGCUCAGCGGAAGAGCACUCACCUAACAUAUGAGGCCCUGGGUUCAAUUCUCAGCACUACA